This 1611-nucleotide long non-coding RNA is filed under the name Anas platyrhynchos platyrhynchos (common mallard). Its description in RNAcentral is "lncRNA (ENSAPLG00000022961.1)". Lineage: Eukaryota; Metazoa; Chordata; Aves; Anseriformes; Anatidae. The record is from RNAcentral.
CAGCUUGUGUGUCCGGCCUGUGCUUCGUUCAGAAGCUGCUGGGAGCCUUGAUAGCAAGAGGAUGGAUGGACAGCAGGAUGCAAAAGGGUAGAUGAGGGCUGGAACCCAAGGUGAUUGUACCGAAUGCAGUGUCUUCAGCAGAAUUGCACUGGUUGAACUUUUAGUGGAAUUUGAUAAAUGAAACUUUACUGCAGAUGUCCUGAUGUCGCGUUAAAGGGGUGUAGCUGAUUAACCGUUACGGGCCCAGUUGGAUUCAGAGUACUGAACCAGUCGGACAUUCACCAAAACUGGGGGUCCGUUCGGACAUUCACCAAAAACGUAAUAACCACCUGGGGGUCCGCUCAGACAUUCACCAAAAACGUAUUAACCACCUGGGGGUCCGUUCAGACAUUCACCAACAAUGCAUUAACCGUCUGGGGGUCUGGUUAGAUUCAGAACACUGAACUAUCACGGAUAACCACCCUUACCCUAGUUGCAUUAAUGAGAGCUAUCACAAUGCAAUCAAGUAUGGUUUAUUACAGCAACAGAUAAUCAGGUUCUUUUGGAUUGCCGGUGAUAGUGACUAUCUGCAAAAGCAAGCUAGUAUGCAUGAAAUACACAGGUGUUACAGGUNNNNNNNNNNGUUCUAGGUGUGGGUUCUAGGUGUGGGUUCUAGGUGUGGGUUCUAGGUGUGGGUUCUAGGUGUUACAGGUGUUACAGGUGUUAUAGGUGUUACAGGUGCGCAGCCUAGAAAUAAACGCGUUAAAAGGAUCAAAGACUCUAUAGAGAUUUAUAAGCAAAUAUUCAGAUCUCACCCAAAGGCGUCCUAAUGGGGGGGGAAGAGAGGCUCAGCCCGUCGACUGAUCCCAGGAGUCAGGAGGUCCUAAGGAUGUUGUAUGUCCUCGGGAUGGUAUCUCCCCUGACGAUGGUAUCUUCCCUAACAUCCCCUCUCUCUUGGGCCAAUUUAUAUUAUUUUCUAUCUUUUAGGUGGAGCUUGAGUGGCUCUAGUCAAGCAUAUCUUAGUUAUGAUUGGUGUAAAGUUUUCCCGUCUCCGUUUAAAGUAAUAGGCUCCGAGAAAUUCAGNGCGCAUGCUCAGUGAGGGGUGGUCGCACCUUGGAGGCGGGUAGCUUUUGGGAUGGAGGUGUGUUUUGGUAUUAUAAUGAUAUUAUAAUGAGCAAAAAGUACACUAGGGUACAGCAUUUGUCAAAACAUGACAGGUCUUUGGCUUAGGGUGGCAAAAAGUGCAGCUUUGUGCACAAGAACAAUCGAGGUCCCACCUGAUUACGGAGCCUAGCCGUGGUGUCUCCACUCCACUCCACGCUCCAUGGUGUUCCUUAGAGCUAGCACACCAAGUUUCCCCAGCGCGAUAGCAUCUAAGGUUGGGAGCCUAGCGAACGCUCAGAUAAUGCAGUUAUGCCCUACCCUGAAAGCCUCUUCAAUGCUGUACCUUUUCCUUAAAAGUGUGAAUGUUAGUUUUAUUUUCCUAGUUACUUCAGGCAUUUACACCACACCUGAGAGUUUAGCUUUUAAUAAUACCAAGGAAUUUUAAAAAGGAGCAUCGCUAUCCUACCUUAGAAAAAUUCUAUGUCAUGGUGCGGUUAGCCCUCUUUGCAAUUAAAGCUGUAUGACUAA